Molecule: ribosomal RNA, 510 nt
Filed under: uncultured Ascomycota
Lineage: Eukaryota; Fungi; Ascomycota
Description: eukaryotic LSU rRNA
Rfam family: 5.8S ribosomal RNA (bases 213-366)
Source: RNAcentral
CCCGCGGAGCUCGCUCCCGGGGCUACCCUACUCCCGUAGGGUUUAGAGUCGUCGGGCCUCUCGGAGAAGCUCGGUCCUGAACUCCACCCUUGAAUAAACUACCUUUGUUGCUUUGGCGGGCCGCCUCGUGCCAGCGGCUUCGGCUGUUGAGUGCCCGCCGGAGGACCCCAACUCUUGUUUUUAGUGAUGUCUGAGUACUAUAUAAUAGUUAAAACUUUCAACAACGGAUCUCUUGGUUCCGRCAUCGAUGAAGAACGCAGCGAAAUGCGAUAAGUAAUGUGAAUUGCAGAAUUCAGUGAAUCAUCGAAUCUUUGAACGCACAUUGCGCCCUCUGGUAUUCCGGGGGGCAUGCCUGUUCGAGCGUCAUUAUAACCACUCAAGCUCUCGCUUGGUAUUGGGGUUCGCGGUUUCGCGGCCCCUAAAAUCAGUGGCGGUGCCUGUCGGCUCUACGCGUAGUAAUACUCCUCGCGAUUGAGUCCGGUAGGUCUACUUGCCAGCAACCCCUAAUUU